UAACUCGGUAUGAUUGUGUGAAUUGCAAAAUGUGCAAGAAAAUUAAGUUUGGGGUGGAAAUCUUGAAAGAGAAGCAAGUGCAUAAUAAGAGAUCAUACAAAAAGAAAAAUAGUAUGUAUUUUCUUUAAAAGAAAAAAAAGAGAAAAAAAGAGAAAAGAAAAACAAAAGAGAAAAAUGCACUUGCCGAGACUUUAGACUCUAAAACAUAUGAAAUGCUCGGAAAAUUCGAGUAGGAAAAGAGUCAAAAGAGUGAAAUUAACCCCCAGAGUAUACGUGAUGCACGAGAAAAAAGAGAAAGAAAAAUCACACAACAUGACUACCGAGUUCAAAACCCUUUGUUAUCCAAUUUUUUUGUUUAUCCCACCGUACCCAAGCCCCGUUACAACCUAAAAAGACCUCAAAAAGUGUGUGGAAUC
RNAcentral lists this long non-coding RNA (416 nucleotides) under Lathyrus oleraceus (garden pea). RNAcentral's name for it is "Pisum sativum (pea) long non-coding RNA (PSAT_LNC028199)". Lineage: Eukaryota; Viridiplantae; Streptophyta; Magnoliopsida; Fabales; Fabaceae. The record is from RNAcentral.